Molecule: ribosomal RNA, 433 nt
Filed under: uncultured bacterium
Lineage: Bacteria
Description: partial 16S ribosomal RNA
Rfam family: Bacterial small subunit ribosomal RNA
Source: RNAcentral
AACGAACGCUGGCGGCAUGCCUAACACAUGCAAGUCGAACGAGACCUUCGGGUCUAGUGGCGCACGGGUGCGUAACGCGUGGGAACCUGCCUUUAGGUUCGGAAUAACUCAGAGAAAUUUGAGCUAAUACCGGAUGAUGUCUUCGGACCAAAGAUUUAUCGCCUUUAGAUGGGCCCGCGUUGGAUUAGCUAGUUGGUGGGGUAAAGGCCUACCAAGGCGACGAUCUAUAGCUGGUCUGAGAGGAUGAUCAGCCACACUGGGACUGAGACACGGCCCAGACUCCUACGGGAGGCAGCAGUGGGGAAUAUUGGACAAUGGGCGAAAGCCUGAUCCAGCAAUGCCGCGUGAGUGAUGAAGGCCUUAGGGUUGUAAAGCUCUUUUACCCGAGAUGAUAAUGACAGUAUCGGGAGAAUAAGCUCCGGCUAACUCCGUG